RNAcentral lists this ribosomal RNA (482 nucleotides) under uncultured bacterium. Its description in RNAcentral is "partial 16S ribosomal RNA". It matches the Rfam family "Bacterial small subunit ribosomal RNA", at positions 30 to 507 of the family's 1533-position model. The record is from RNAcentral.
AUUGAACGCUGGCGGCAUGCUUUACACAUGCAAGUCGAACGGUAACAGGCCGCAAGGUGCUGACGAGUGGCGAACGGGUGAGUAAUGCAUCGGAACGUGCCCAGUCGUGGGGGAUAACUACUCGAAAGAGUAGCUAAUACCGCAUACGAUCUAUGGAUGAAAGCGGGGGACCGUAAGGCCUCGCGCGAUUUGAGCGGCCGAUGUCAGAUUAGGUAGUUGGUGGGGUAAAGGCUCACCAAGCCAACGAUCUGUAGCUGGUCUGAGAGGACGACCAGCCACACUGGGACUGGGACACGGCCCAGACUCCUACGGGAGGCAGCAGUGGGGAAUUUUGGACAAUGGGCGCAAGCCUGAUCCAGCAAUGCCGCGUGCAGGAAGAAGGCCUUCGGGUUGUAAACUGCUUUUGUACGGAACGAAACGGCUCUGGUUAAUACCCGGGGCUAAUGACGGUACCGUAAGAAUAAGCACCGGCUAACUACGUG